RNAcentral lists this ribosomal RNA (440 nucleotides) under uncultured bacterium. RNAcentral describes it as "partial 16S ribosomal RNA". It matches the Rfam family "Bacterial small subunit ribosomal RNA", at positions 338 to 795 of the family's 1533-position model. The record is from RNAcentral.
CCUACGGGAGGCAGCAGUAGGGAAUAUUGCUCAAUGGGCGAAACCCUGAUGCAGCAACGCCGCGUGGAGGAUGAAGGUUUUAGGAUUGUAAACUCCUUUUGUGAGAGAAGAUAAUGACGGUAUCUCACGAUUAAGCACCGGCUAACUCCGUGCCAGCAGCCGCGGUAAUACGGAGGGUGCAAGCGUUAGUCGGAAUCACUGGGCGUAAAGAGUGCGCAGGCGGGGUUGUAAGUCAGAUGUGAAAUCCUGUAGCUUAACUACAGAACUGCAUUUGAAACUAUGAGUCUAGAGUGUGGGAGAGGUAAGAGGAAUUCUUGGUGUAGGGGUGAAAUGCGUAGAUAUCAAGAGGAAUACUCAUUGCGAAGGCGACCUACUGGAACAUUACUGACGCUGAUGCACGAAAGCGUGGGGAGCAAACAGGAUUAGAUACCCGUGUAGUC